RNAcentral lists this ribosomal RNA (437 nucleotides) under uncultured Sphingobacteriales bacterium. RNAcentral's name for it is "bacterial SSU rRNA". It matches the Rfam family "Bacterial small subunit ribosomal RNA", at positions 349 to 782 of the family's 1533-position model. The record is from RNAcentral. Lineage: Bacteria; Pseudomonadati; Bacteroidota; Sphingobacteriia; Sphingobacteriales.
CAGCAGUAGGGAAUAUUGGUCAAUGGGCGAAAGCCUGAACCAGCCAUGCCGCGUGGAGGAUGACUGCCCUCAGGGUUGUAAACUCCUUUUAUUUGGGAAGAAACCCCGGAAUUCACUUCCGGGCUGACGGUACCAUUUGAAUAAGCACCGGCUAACUCCGUGCCAGCAGCCGCGGUAAUACGGAGGGUGCAAGCGUUAUCCGGAUUCACUGGGUUUAAAGGGUGCGUAGGCGGGACAUUAAGUCAGAGGUGAAAGCCCCGAGCUCAACUCGGGAACUGCCUUUGAUACUGGUGUUCUUGAAUAUAGUUGAGGCAGGCGGAAUACAGCAUGUAGCGGUGAAAUGCAUAGAUAUGCUGUAGAACACCAAUUGCGAAGGCAGCUUGCUAGACUAUUAUUGACGCUGAGGCACGAAAGCGUGGGGAGCGAACAGGAUUAGA